AUGAGGCUGGCUCUAGCGAAGAAGGAGCUCGACCUUGUAGCUGCGCAAAAGGAGGCUCAGGAGAAGACUGCCCUUGUUGACAAAAAGCUGGCUUCAGUCGGAGCGCUAGAGGAGGAAAUAACCAAGCUGAAGUCGUCUCUUACUGAAUCCAACCGAGAGGCGACUCGUCUAAAGAAAGAUAAGGUGACUCUGAACGAGCAGCUGGAAAGCAUGUCUUGUAGGAGAAACGACUUGGAAGCUUAUCUGAAAGCCCUCGCCAAGAGGCUCUUCCUUAUGCUCGAAUGUACCCCUUUUUUAUUCGACUGUUUUACUGUUUGCAAGUCACUGCGGAUCAGUCGACUCAUUAACUCCUUGAAUCUGCAGAAUUCUGCCAAAACUUUGAAGAGGAAACUGGACGGAUCGAGACGGGCUUGGAUCUUAUCCUUUCUCCAGUCGGCGACGAGGCUGCCAUGA
Molecule: ribosomal RNA, 453 nt
Filed under: Triticum aestivum (bread wheat)
Lineage: Eukaryota; Viridiplantae; Streptophyta; Magnoliopsida; Poales; Poaceae
Description: partial small subunit ribosomal RNA
Source: RNAcentral